RNAcentral lists this long non-coding RNA (12223 nucleotides) under Capsicum annuum. RNAcentral describes it as "long non-coding RNA (CANN_LNC005775)". The record is from RNAcentral. Lineage: Eukaryota; Viridiplantae; Streptophyta; Magnoliopsida; Solanales; Solanaceae.
AAGAAGAUUGGAAAGUACAAUUUCCACGGUUGCCACACCAAAUGCCAUAGCUGGGCACCCUCUUCGGCCUGCUCCAAAUGGGAGCAACUCAAAAUUUUGGCCCCUGAAAUCGAUAUCGCUGUUCAUGAACCUCUCAGGUAUAAAUUCUUCUGGAUUUUCCCAUAUUUCAGGAUCCCUUCCAAUUGCCCAGACGUUGACAUGAAUUAUAGUUUUCUGUUUAAUUUCAUAUCCUUCUAGUACGGAAUUUUGCAUUGUCUCUCUUGGUACUAACAAUGGACCUGGUGGAUACAAUCUAAAUGUCUCUUUUAUCACUGCUUUGAAAUAUUGAAGAUUUUGGAUAUCAUCUUCAUUCACUAUGGAUUUUUUCCCAACCGAUUCUCUAAUUUCUGCUUGAACUUUCUUCAUGGCAUUCGGGUUCCCUAUCAAAGCUGUCAUUGCCCAAAUUACUGCAGCUGCGCUUGUAUCCGUUCCACCUACUAGCAUAUUCUACCAGACAAAGUGGGAGGAUAAAAUUUAAAUGCAACAUUGUCAUAUCAAUUGGAUUGUUCUCCUAAUCAUAAACUGUUAUAGCAUGUGUAACAUCACAAGUUCAAAGGUAUACGUUGUAAUAUUUGAAAAAAAUCUUUCUUUAUAUUAUCACCGUUCCACAGACAUAUAACCACAGAAGAAAACUUACCAAGCCAAUAAAUAUGAUAACACACAAAGACUUGCAUAUAUACAAUUUUUAACAUCUAACUGUGAUUAGUUGAUAUUCCCUUCGUUUCAAUUUGUUUGUGUGGUUUUGACUUGACAUGAAGUUUAAGAAAGUAAAGUAGACUUUUGAAUCUUAUACUCUUGAACAUGUCAUGUAGAAGCUUGAAACUAAAAAGUUUUCAUAAAAGGAAAUAGAAAAAAGAAAGUAAGACGGACAAAGUGAAUUAGAGGGAUCAUGAAUUUUCACUUCAUUUUGUUAGUUCAUUCAUACGGUUAAAUGUUUAGCUAGGAGUAAGCAUCCAAGGAGAGAGUAUAUAAAAUGGAGACAAAUGGAGUUGUUCAUUACCAUGAUAAUUCCCUUUAUGUCAUCAAAAGUAAGAUCGAUUGGAGUUGAUUUCUCCUUCUUCAACUUGAGCAAAAGGUCAACAAUAUCUCCUUCCAUCGAUUUUGGCCUGUUGGAAUUGAGAUGCUGCUCGACGAGUCCUUCAUAAAACUCAUCCAGAUCCUUAAAAUUAUUCUCAAGUCUACUUAUUCUUCCAGAGAGUUUAUCAAUCCAACCUAAGAGAGGAAAAUAAUCAGAGACAAAAAAGCCUGCUAAUAUUUCUUCAGUCACUUUUAAAAGCUCCGCAAAUUUCCUCCUUUCAUGUGUUUCUUCAUCGUACCUAAUACCAAAAGCAACUCUACAAAUAAUUGUAGCUGUUAGUGAAAUCAAUAUACUACUCAAAUUUGUAAUUUGUGAAGUGGCAGCUUGUUGAGAUAUUUUCUUGAUCAUUCUUGAUACUUCAUCUUCACGAAUUGGACUAAAAGAUUGCACUUUCUUGAGACUAAAUAAGUGAAGCACACAGAUUUUUCGAAGUUCUCUCCAAUAGUCAUUAUAAGGCGCAAAGCCAAUAUCAUGACCGUUGUAAGACAAUUUUCGCUGACCAAGAAGAAGAGGUCUACUACAAAAUACUAAAUCUUGUGUCUUCAACACUUCUUUUGCUAAUUUUGCUGAAGAAAUUACGACCAUGGUAGAAGAACCAAGUUUCAAUGAGAAUAUAUUUCCAUAUAUCUUGGAAAGUUUCCAAAAAUAGAGAUGAGGGUUUAAACUAUCAAAUUGAUGCAGAUUUCCAAUGAAUGGGAGCCCUAUAGGACCUGGUGGCAUAUUGUUUUCUCCAUUCUUUUUGCUUUUUGGAAGAAGAAAACUGAGAAUAGUGAUGAUAAGAAGAGCUACAAAGAUUGGAAAAAACAUCAUGUGAGUUUUGUUUGGAAAGGGUCACUUGAAAUGUCUUCUGUCUUGUAUUUAACCAAAAAAAUAAAUAAAUCUUGCUACUCUUCUUUUUGUAUGGUGAUUUUUCAUGAGAGUAACAUUGAAAAAUUCAUAGGCCACAAUAAUUAAAGCUUGAAAAAUGACCUUUGUCUUCAAGCAAUCUAUUUUUUCCACAUUAUCUAGAGAUUUAUCUAACCAAUGAUUUCAUAGCAUUAGAUAAAGGCAAUAUUGGUAACUGAAUUAAUAAAUAGAUUGUACAGCUUCCUAUUAGAAGGGGAAGGAAUAAACUCACAAAUAUCAAAGCUUUAGUUUGGGUCCAAAAAUUUGGAUUCAUUCAUGAUCAAGAAAAAUAGAAUUUUAAAUUAAAUUUUGCAUCGGAAUAACACAAGUUCACAUGGUAAGCAUGCUUCUGGGAAAAAUGAUGGCGUGUAGCCAAUUAGGGACAAAUAUAUGUGGGUUAUUGGACUUGAGCAGACAAUACAUGUCGUGUGCUUGAACUGUGACAAAUAUAUGUGGGUUAUUGGACUUAAGCAGACAAUACAUGUCGUGUGCUUGAACUGUGACAAAUAUGAUAUUAGAGCUUAACAUCUCCUCCAUAUGGUAUUCCCUUAGUAUGGGAGCGGAACAAACCUCAAUGAGAACCUUCGGAAGGAGUAUGUUUGGCCAAAACAGAUAAUAUAUGUCACGGGCUUGAGAUAUGACAAUAAGAUCUUGGUCUCUACAGGUAUUGCACUUGGUAUUGGAACGGUGGAGCUUAAACUUCUAUAUGCAUUAUAAGUCGGGGAUUAAUCUUGGAUUACUAGUAUGUUAAUUUGAUGACACAGUUAAUAUACAAGGAGGGGAUAUAAAACCAAAAACCUUCCUAAGAAAAAGCAAUAUACAAUAUACAACUUUGUUUUGGGGUGUUGAUUGCGAUAAUUGAGAAGUUUACAGAGAUAAAGAGAAAAGAGAAGCCAUGGAAGCACAAUUGCUCAUUUUUCAAGUAUUAGAGAAACUGUUACAUUGCCUGCAACUAACUGCUGUAGGUUCUAUUUAUAGACUAGAGUAUACCUUCUAGAAUUGUCUAGAAGAAUCUUAGGUCUUAGCUCAACUACAUCACACUUACAGCACAUGACUGCCAGCUCACCACUCGGCUCCACGUCAUCAGCUACCUAACUAUUAACUAUAUUGUACAGUAGUAGUUCAAUGUAAUAGUAACCGACUACCAUUAUACCAUUAACUAACUAACUGAUUGAUAACUUCCAAUACUUCCCCUCAAGCUGAAGGGUGCAAAAUGUUAAGCACACCAAGCUUGCUUAAUAAGUGACGGUAUUGAUCAUGUCCCAAACUCUUCGUUAGGAUAUCUGCUACCUGAUGUUAUGUUGAAACAUGCAAGGGCUGGACAACUCCAUCUUUGAUUUUAUGUCUAAUAAAAUGAUAGUCGAUCUCGAUGUGUUUGGUUCUCUCAUGAAAGAUAGGAUUGGCUGCAAGUUGUAUAGCUGAUUUACUAUCACUAAACAAGAUGAUAGGUUUGUGAAUCUGAACAUUUAACUCUGCAAAUAGACCUUUUAUCCAAGUAAGUUCUGCCACAGCAGUGGCCAUACUCCUGUAUUCAGCUUCGGCUGAACUCCUUGAGACUGUGAGUUGAUUUUUAGACUUUCCAGGAUAUGAGUGAGCCACCAAAAUGCACCACAUAACCUGUAAUUGAUCUUCUUGUGUUGGGUCAUGCAGCCCAAUCUGAGUCACACCAACAAACCAAGUCUGUAGCAGCCUGAGCUUUCAACAGACACCUUGACCUACUAAACCCUUUAGGUACCUUAUCACUCUAUAUCCAAAUCGGAUCUCUUUGGUCAUUGCAUGAACUGACUUAAUGUUUGAACAACAAAAUUAAUGCCUGGCAUAGUUAUGGUAGCAUACAUAAGCUUACCAGCUAACCUUUGAUAAGAAGUUGCAUCCUUCAAGAUAACAUCACCAGUAACUCCUACAAUCUCAUCAUAGUCAACUGAUGUAAGUCUAGCAUUGAACUCUGUAGGAGUAGAAGAUAGUUUUGCAUUAGUCAAACCAGCUUAUGAUAUUAACUCAAGAAGAUACUUCCUUUGAUUCAAGAUAACACCCUGUGUUGACCUCAAGACUUCAAUUCCCAGGAAGUAUUUGAGCUCCCGUACAUUUUUGAGUUUGAACUGCCUGUGCAAGAUCUCCUUGGCUUCAAUGUUCAUGGCUUCACUAUCACCUAUGAUCAACAGAUCAUCUACAUAAACCAGUAUCACUACCAUUCCCUUUGUUCCUUUUAAUGUGAACAAAGAGUAGUCAUGAGCACUUUGAAUGAAAACUGCACCCAAUAAUGCGGAGGUAAGUUUGAUAUUCCAUUGUUCUGAAGCUUGCUUAAGUCCAUAAGUGACUUAAGUAAUCCACAAACUUUGUGAUUUCCCUUUUUCUGAAAACCAUCAGGCAUUUUCCAUAUAUACUUCCUCAGCUAAAUCUCCAUGUUAAAAGGCAUUAUAGACAUCUAUUUGAUACAUGGCCACCCUUUUGAUACAGCCAAAACAAUCAUACAUCUGACAGUCACCAUAUUUUCCAUAGGGAAAAAUGUGUCAUAAUAAUCCAGUCCUUCCUGUUGACUGUAACCCUUAGCUACCAGUCUUGCCUUAAACCUUUCAACAUCACCAUUUUCUUUGUAUUUUAUUUUGUGUACCCCAUUUGAGCCAAUAGCAUGUGUAGUACUCGUGCCUUUUUCCUAGCUUGAAACCACUCAAGGAUGCUACAACUUGCUUUGAAAUAUGAAUCCACUUUUAUACACGUGGGAUUUUUAAUAUCUUCACUUUCUAUCACGUGAAAAAUUGAAUAAGUUUUCCAUCGAUACCAAUUUCAUCAAAAUUCAAUGUUAGAUGAGGAAGUUAUGGCCGAAAUAUAGAAAGCAGAAAAAACCUCCCAGGUGCGACGGUGUAGGCGACGGACCGUCAGACAAAGGAUGAACCAUCGACCAUGACCUUCGCAUCGAGGCAGUGCGUUAACUUUCUAAAAAUGUACGACGGUGAAGUCCGACGGACUGUUGACCCAGCGACGGACCGUUGCACCCCACCAUCGCACAAUGGCAGUGAGUCCCAGUUUUGUCUCAGUCCGACGGAGAGGUCCGACAGACCGUCGACCCAGCGACGAACCACCGUACCCCACCGUCGGAUAAAUCGCUCAGUUAUUUUAAGUCAUUUUAAUAGGGAUAUUUUGGUCAUUUACCACCGGCCUAGAUAUACCCAGUUAUAUCUGAUUUCAGCCACUUUAUUCAUUAUUAUUUCACACCAACAAAUAUUAAGGUUUCUCUCUAAAAUUAAUCCUCAAGAAUAAAAAUUCAAAUCUUCUUCAAGAACUAAGAGAUUCAAUUCCCUCAACUUCAAGAACAUCAAGAACCUAAUCCCAAGUAUGCACAGUGUUCAUUCAUGGACUUCUUUCAUCCAUGAAGUCCAAUAAUCCCUUUUCCAAAUUCAAGUUAUGGAUUUUCUUUUUGAUUUGAUGAUUGGGCUGUUUUUGUUCAUGUUGAUAAAUCAAAAAAUUAAAUUCUUCUCCAUGUUGGGUGAUAAUUUCUAUGUGGGUUUAGUUGUUAUAGAUUUAGAUUCAUGCAAACUUAUGACUAAACCCUUGAAUGAUGAAAAUAAAAAUUGAAUCAUGAUGUUUAAUUAUUGUAUAAUGAUGUUUACAUGUACUAUGCCUACAAUGUGUUUGCUUAAAUGCCUAGAUGAAGGAAAAUUGCCUAACUAGCGUGAUAUCAUGAAAUCCCCAUGUAUGUACAAGGUUAUGCCUAUAACAUGUUUGAUGAAAGGUCUCAAUAAAUGUAUUAUGGUGAUUAUUAUGUGUUUAAGUAAGUCAAGCUUGUCAGUUUCCUUUCAUCGAGUCCUGGGGGUACUUGUACCCAAAACAUUAGUUGUGUGCCUAGAGCCAAGGUCAUGUUUUCACGAUACUCUCAGUCGAGCUAUAAAUUUUUAGACUUCAGACAGUCUUAUGACUCAAGAAAUCUCCAUGAUCUCAUGAACUCAAUCAAUUGUCAGAUAUCAGUAGUAUUACAUCAGUCAAUGGAAUUCAUUAACUCAGUCCAUGCUUCAGUUCAGUAAAUCAUGUUCAGUGUUUAUUUAGAUGGGAGUAUAAAUUAGCACCGAGCGAACCCAAGGAUGGGAACUCACCUGCUAGUUUAGGGUGUGAUUCUUAGAAGCAGUCCUUGUGUUUCAGAACUAUGUAGCCAGCGUAGGUUGAGACAUCUAACCUGUCAGUUUAGGGUUGGUGAGGUGGCUUAAUGUGUCAAUUUAAGAUUCCCACCAUUCUCAUUUUGAGUACCUGUCAGUAUAGGGUCCUCACAGCUUGUCCUUACCAGUGGCGCGGUAUUGACACCCUUCCAAUUGGGGUUACAGAUUGGACCCCAACUUAGCUAUAAUAGCGCAUUUGGGGCAUGUUGGUUAGAUGACUACUUCCCAUAGUUUCAUGUUAUAGAUUUAGGACUGUCAGAUACAGUCAACUCAGAUACAGUACAAAACUCAGAUAGUUCCAUCAGACUCAGGACUGUCAGAUAUAGUCACUCAUGUUAUCAGUUACAUUCAGACACAAUCAUUCAUGUUAUCAGUCAUAUCGGUUAUCAGUAUGUCAUGUCUUCAGUAUUCAGAUUCAGUAACUAUGUUCUCACGAUAUCAGUGUCAGUUAUUAUGUCUCAUGCAUGUAUUCUCAUGCUCAUGAUAGUUAGUUAGUUAUUAUUAUUGUUCAUGCAUAUGAACCCCAUGCAUUCAUCCUACCUCACAUGCAUACCAGUACAUCCAAAGUACUGACGCAUUCGCGCUAUGGUGUCUUAUACCAUAGGUUCAGAGAUACGAGCUUCAGAUCAACAGUAGAUUCCAAAUAUCCACAGAUAAAGUCAGAAGCGAGUCCUCAUCUUUCGAGGACAUGCUUAUUUCUUUGUUAUCUCAUUAGUUAGUUUAUUAGACGGAGUUAGUUGGGGACAUAUCUCAUCAACUUCUUAUUUAGAUUAUUUAGACAGUAGAGGCUUUCAGACUAGAUGCAGACUAGAUUUCAGAUUUGAUUCAGACUUCAGUAUUUUUAAUUAUUUUUGGGUAUCUAUUACCCCACAAAGACGUUAUAUUAUUCAUGUUAUGUUCAUUAUUAAACCUUAUGGCCCUUCAAUACAUGUUUCCGCAUUAUCAGUCAUGGGUUAGCUUGUGAUUCUUUGGGGUCAUGAGCACCGUGUAUCAUCCCGGAUACCAAAUUCGGGGCGUUACAAACUUAGUAUUAGAGCCUAACGUUCAAUAGAGUCCUAGAAAGUCUAAAAGUUGUAUCUAGUAGAGUCUUGUACAUGGGUGUGUUGCGAGCCACAUUUAUGUGCAGGGGGCUACAAGAUGUUUUAGAAAUAGUUUACCUUCUUUGAGUAUUCAUGUCAUGCCAGUGAGCAUAAACUCAAGUCAAUCUUUCAGUCUAAUCUGCUUCUUCCCCUUAUUUCAGAACAUGCUCCCCAAGAGAAGAACCCAGCCUGUCUAAGAAAAUCCCUUGGACGAUCAUGUUUCUCAUGCGGAAUUCAGGGUCGUAUUUACCACUCUUGAUCAGUCAGUAGCUUCCCAAAAUGAACGACCAACUGUCGUUCCGGCCAACCCAGUGGCCAAUUCAUCUGCAGCUAGGAUUCGGGACUUUACCCGAAUGAAUCCUCCAACCUUUCUCAGUUCUAAGGCAGUUGAGGACCUCAGGAAUUCCUAGAUCAGGUGCAGAAGGUGACAGACUGUCACGACCUGAACUACGGCCUGGCCGUGAUGGACAUCCCGAACCAUGAAGGCCCAGAAUGCCCUUCUCUAUCUGGUAAUCAUGCACAACUUCAUAUAAUAAAAAAAGAUGCGAAAACAUAAUCUGCUACGGAACCAUGGACAAUUCUGAAUUCAACAUAAGUAUGGAAACUGGAAAUCAACUACAUCUAAAUAACAUCUGACUCAAUCGGCGAAAUCUCUACUACAUGAAAAUCUGACAACUAUCUGAAACUGGGACAAGGCCCCCAUUAGACCAAAACUGAAAUAAGUAACAUAAUCUGAAAAGACAGACCUUCUGGAAUAGAGAAGGCUCACCACUGUACAAUCUGAUCAGCUGUCUGAAUUAUCUACUGCUUAUCUGGACCCCUAGACUGAGCCUCAGAACCCGAGUGGUAGGGGGAGGGGGUCAAUAUAGAUGUAAUGGUACGCAGAACAUAUCCAAAAUAAUCAUUUAUUAUUCAACAUAGAUGAGAGCAAUUUAAAACAGUUCAUGAGUAUAUCAUAUAGUAAGAAUUCGCAUGGGCAUUUUAAAGACUCUGUAAAAAUCAUCACAACUCUGAGAAAUCUGUGUUACUUCUGCGCUAGGUGGUAUACCCUACAACUUUGAAAAAUUCCAUGGGCUAUAUGAAAACUGCCAUUAACUCGGCAGCGAAGCCCCUAGCCCAAGUGUGCCGCAAGGGUCGGAGUCUCUGAAUCUACUACGCCACACGACCGUCGCCAGCAUACAAUAAUAAUCUACUCGUAUCGGCAAAUAUGAUUUCAGGCUAAGAGUUGCUUGAACUCGCUCCUUCUUCGGGUAACCACCUAACCCUCUUUAAGCCCCUUUUUAAAACUCUAUCAAAACAUACAGUCUCUGAAAACAUACUCUGAAAACAUAAUCUAUUGUAGCAUAAAUACAUAUGGUAUUGUCAUACCAUUGACUUGCAAGUCACAUCUCUGAGCCAUUAUUACUCUAUCGUACAUAUCUGGUUUCAAAACACAAGUUUUGGGACCACUAUUUCAAUAAUUCAAUUCAAAAAAACUCUUUCUCAAACCUCAUGUGAACACAUGCAAGGAACUCAUCUUUGUCAAGCAUUUCAAUAGUACAAUACAAGGUGGUCAUGUCAAGGUUCUCAAUUCACAUGUAAUUCUUUCUCUUAAGCACAAGAACACAUUUAUAUCAAGAAACACCCUCUUAACAAUUUCAAAUCAUGCUCAAACGCUAUAAUAUUGCGAAAACAUCUUUCAAAUCACAAAACCAUAAUCUUUAAUUCAAUACAAGAGAUGGAGUUCAUAAUUUAUGCUCUCAACAAUCUUAAAUCUCAAUUUCAUACAUAUACAUAUAUAUGUAAAUCAAUUUAGGGGAAAAGACCACAAGGCCAAAGCAAUAGCAGCAUUGAAACUUUUGACAUGCAUAAUCAAUAAUAUAGUUUUCAAAACCCCCAUAAAAUACAUACAUCAAAACCUUUAAAUCAUGCUUUAACAAUUUCAAGCCCAUGUAGUUUUUAGGAUAAACCCCACGUACCUUAAAUUUGGAGAUUUUGAAUGAACUCUAGCUUUUGGGAUGCUAUACGUACGAUUAAUGGGUGCAUAUUGUAGCCCCAGCAAUGGAGAUUCUGAAUCUUGAAGAAUUAAGAAAAACCCACAGUUAAACCUUGAGAUAUUUGAGUUUUUAGUUUGAAACCCUAAGGGGUGUUCUUGAUGAAUUUUGGUGAAAGUGUAUGUAUUUAGGUGUAUUUGGGAUUAAAUCUCGUGUUUGGAAAGGUUUGGGGCCAUGUGCAAUGUCUAAUUUGACCUUGGAAUUUAAAAUUCGGGACUGGAACGCCAAAAAAGGAUUCACCGUGAUGCGCUGGAAUCGCGGUGAGCUACUGGAAUUGACAAUUGUCAAUUUAAGGCUCAUCGCGACGCAGUGGCCAGUAAAUCAAAAAUGCUGAUACUAAAAAUGCUCUAACUUCUUCACCGAGUGUUCGUUUUAGGCGAAUUUGGUAUCGAUAGAAAGAUAAUUCAAGGAUCUUUCAUUUGAUAUAUAGUAAUCCCUCUAAUUUAUUAUAUAAAAAGAGUUAUGAUCGAUUGAAAUCAACCCAAGUUUUGAUGCUCACUCAAACUCGAAUGAUGGGAAAACUUUCAACUCGUCCUUGAGUUAGGGGACAUCUAUGAUCUCAAUUCAUGCUAAGAUAUAUUCCCACACUACAUAAUUGGUUAACAUGCUAAAUUUGCCUUGAAUUUAUGUCUUUUGGAACCUUUACGCGAAGGAAUGAUAGUUUAAGUUCUUGCCCAAAAAUGUGAGGCGUUACACAGACAUUAUGGGGGUGACUACUAUUGAGAGUGCUGAGCUAGAUGCAUAUCAGUUGCAGGAUGUUUCUCACACCUUGUUCAAACAGUGGAAGUCAGAAAGGGCCGACGAUGCAGGGUCAGUUGAGUGGGAGGAGUUUGCUUCAGCUUUCCUCGAUAUAUUCUUUUCCCUAGAGCUUUGGGAAGCUAAGGUGCUGGAAUUCAUUAACCUCAGGUAGGGAAAUAUGACAGAGACAGAGUAUUCUCUUAAGUUUACUCAAUUAGCUAGUUUUGCCCCUCGUGUGGUUACCGGUAGUACGUCAAGGAUGAGUAAGUUCUUCUCAGGGGUGAAUGAUAGCGUGGUUAAUGAGUGCAGAUCCGCCAUGAUAAAUAGUGACAUGACUUUAGCCAGACUUAUGACUCAUGCUCAGCAGAUAGAGGAGCAAAAGAUUAAGAUGAGGGAGAAGCAGAAUAAGAGAGCAAAGACAGGUAGUUUCAACUUUGCUCAGCCCAAAUCAAAAGGAGGAAACCGUUCUCAGUUUCGUCCUCCUUCUUUAGCCAGUACUCCAGCUCCUAAAUUCGGAGAUAGAGCGCGCGCCAGGCUCUCAGUCUCAGGGCAAUGUUAGCAGCACCCACACUUAUCCCCUCUGUCAGACUUAUGGUAAGAACCACAAGGGUGUUUGCAGAUCUGGUAGUGAUGUUUGUUUCGGAUGUGGCAUGCCAGGACACAGAGUUCGAGAGUGUCCUAAGACAGGUUCCCAGCUUUAGCAGAAUCGUUCCACAGCUCAGUCCAGUCGCCCAAAUCAGCAGAGCGCCACUUCCAGUGCUACUAGUGGGCAAUGGCCAAAAUAGUGUAAUAGCAUGUUUAUUCCACCAAAUUAGUGUAACCAAAUUUUGGAAGCAAUUUCCUUAAAAGCGAAUACACUAAAAAUUACCAUUUGGAGUCCAAACUUCUGAAAUAUUCCUGUACUACCUAUUGCUGGUCCCGAGGGGUGUAGGUGGUUUGGUUAGUCCAAAGAUUGUUAUCAGUUCAAGAAUUAACUACUGAGCUCAAUGUGAUAAGAAAUUCUCAAGUACGAUUCUAGUUAGGAAAGUAUUGAACAACCUAUUCUGCCUGGAGAGAUAUCAUCAAGACGGAGCUUCCUCUUCUCCAUUUCUUAGAUCAUAAAGUUUUAGAAGGCAAUGUUUUACCUAAAUAUUGGAAAGAAUAAAGGAGAUUGUUUUUUUUUUGUCUAAGAACUCGAAAGGCAGUCAUUUUCGUCUUUUUUCUCUGAUUUUUCCAUGUCAAAAUCACAAUUUAGCGCUCCAUGCUAAAGAAAAGGGAUUACUUUGAGUCUAAUAUUUCUGCCUUAAUUUUUUCGUCGAGCUCCUCUGGAACUAGACGGAAAAUUUUAAUGAAACAACUGCUACAUCACAAGUUUAUGUAGCCCUGCUUGUGCUCUAUUUUUGCUUGCUAAUUUACAUGGCAGGAGUGAUGUCUAAUUCCCAAUCAUUCCAAGGCAUAUUUAAGUUUUAACUUAAAAAACCAAAUAUGGCAGGCAUAAAACCAUACGACCAUAUGUUAAAUACAGAUAAGUAAGCAUACAUAUUUAUUUAAUUUAAACACUGGAGCUUUACUGUGUUUAUCGGAAGCUUUAAUGCACUAGAAUGGCCUUUACAGGAAUUUGAUCUUCUUCAAUUCUAGUGAUAGUUUGUAGGAACAAGGCACAAAGCAUUUUUCUUAUGCAUAGCAAGUCCAGGCAAAACAUCGGUGUCAAUGUCUUCUCUUUUCAUUCCACUAGGCAACUCCCAAUCAAAGGCGUAAAGAAGAUUAGAAAGUACAAGUUCCACGGUUGCCACACCAAGUGCGACACCGGGGCACCUUCUUCUGCCUGCUCCAAAUGGGAGCAACUCAAAAUUUUGGCCCUUGAAAUCGAUAUCGCUGUUCAAGAACCUCUCAGGUAUAAAUUCUUCUGGAUUUUUCCAUAUUUCAGGAUCCCUUGCAAUUGCCCAAAUGUUGACAUGAAUUAUAGUUUUCUGUUUAAUUUCAUAUCCUUCUAGUAUGGAAUUUUGCAUUGUCUCUCUUGGUAAUAACAAUGGAGCUGGUGGAUACAAUCUAAAUGUCUCUUUUAUCACUGCUUUGAAAUAUUGAAGAUUUUGGAUGUCGACUUCAUUCACUAUGGACUUUUUCCAAACCGAUUCUCUAAUUUCUGCUUGAACUUUCUUCAUGGCAUUCGGGUUCCUUAUCAAAGCUGUCAUUGCCCAAAUUACUACAGCUGCGCUUGUGUCCGUUCCACCUACUAGCAUAUCC